AAGUCGAGCGGUAACGGGAAGAAGCUUGCUUCUUUGCCGACGAGCGGCGGACGGGUGAGUAAUGCUUGGGAACAUGCCUAGAGGUGGGGGACAACAGUUGGAAACGACUGCUAAUACCGCAUAAUGUCUACGGACCAAAGGGGGGGCUCUUCGGACCUCUUGCCUCUAGAUUGGCCCAAGUGAGAUUAGCUUGAUGGUGGGGUAAAGGCCUACCAUGGCGACGAUCUCUAGCUGGUUUGAGAGGAUGAUCAGCCACACUGGGACUGAGACACGGCCCAGACUCCUACGGGAGGCAGCAGUGGGGAAUAUUGCACAAUGGGGGAAACCCUGAUGCAGCCAUGCCGCGUGUGUGAAGAAGGCCUUCGGGUUGUAAAGCACUUUCAGUAAGGAGGAAAGGGUGCAGGUUAAUACCCUGUAUCUGUGACGUUACUUACAGAAGAAGCACCGGCUAACUCCGUGCCAGCAGCCGCGGUAAUACGGAGGGUGCGAGCGUUAAUCGGAAUUACUGGGCGUAAAGCGUGCGUAGGCGGAUUGUUAAGCGAGAUGUGAAAUCCCGGGGCUCAACCUCGGAACUGCAUUUCGAACUGGCAGUCUAGAGUAUUGUAGAGGGUGGUGGAAUUUCCAGUGUAGCGGUGAAAUGCGUAGAG
This 647-nucleotide ribosomal RNA is filed under the name Thalassotalea loyana. RNAcentral's name for it is "bacterial SSU rRNA". It matches the Rfam family "Bacterial small subunit ribosomal RNA", at positions 59 to 695 of the family's 1533-position model. Lineage: Bacteria; Pseudomonadati; Pseudomonadota; Gammaproteobacteria; Alteromonadales; Colwelliaceae. The record is from RNAcentral.